This 1824-nucleotide long non-coding RNA is filed under the name Mytilus galloprovincialis (Mediterranean mussel). Lineage: Eukaryota; Metazoa; Mollusca; Bivalvia; Mytilida; Mytilidae. The record is from RNAcentral.
CAUCCUAAGGAUAUAUAACGAGCAAUUUGGAAAAAUAAAUUUGUCGGUUUCUUAUACGGUUGCGAAGUAGUAGUGGCCACAAGAAAAACAGUGUUUGGGGAGAUAACUCUUACAAGGUAAAGGUUUUUGUUACGCGGUGUCAGUUUCAGAAGCGCAUUAACUGUUCGAUAUCAUAUACCAAAUAUCUAAGCGACAUCUUGUGAAACAAAAAAACAGCGAAGGAAAAAAAAGUUGGCGGAAGAAAAAAAAAAAAAAUAAUAAUAAUAAUAAUUAAAAACCAAUUGUUCAAAGAACAAUUGAAGGUCUUUCAACCAAUAAGGAUCUAUUUUGAUAUGAAAAUAUUAAAAUUCAGUUGAAAAUGUCAGUUCCUAUGGCUUAAUGAUGUAAAAAAAUAUGAAUUUCAAAGCAAAGGUCAAAAUCUAGAACGUCCAAUUAACCUAUGACCUUGACCUCAAUUUCAAGGUCAUAGACUAAGGAACCUCAAAUCAAAAGACACUAGUUCCUGUAUUAUGUAUGGUUCAUGAGUAAUAUCACUUUACGCAUAAUUCUAAAUAUAAGAGGGGCAAAAACUCCCAUUUAUUGUCUACGCACCCUUCCAAUCAAAAUUUAUAAGUUACGACAUGUCGCAACUAACAAUUUAGUAAAAAUAAUUUGUCGAAAUCUUAUAAAGUUAAUGAAAAUAAGUGAAAAUAAGCCAAAAUCAAAAUUUAGAAAUUUGACCUUGACCUUUGACCUUGACCUAAUUUUCAUUUUUUUGGACCAAGGAUCUUAAAUCAAAAGACCCUAGGUCUCUAUCACUUAUAGUUUUACCAGUUAGAAAUGCAUAUCACUUAUAUCAUAUAUAAAAGGGGGGAUAACUCUCAUAUGGAGUCUCCGGAUAGCUUCGGUCAAAAUGAAACAGAACAUCCUGAGGAUAUAACGAGCAAUUUGGAAAAAUAAAUUUGUCGGUUCUUUUACGGUUGCGAAGGAGUUAGUGGCCACAAGAAAAACAGUGUUCGGGGAGAUAACUCUUACAAGGUAAAGUUUUUUGUUACGCGGUGUCAGUUUCAGAAGCGUAUUAACUGUUCGAUAUCAUAUACCAUAUAUCUUAAGCGAACAUCUUGUGAAACAAAAAAACAGCGAAGGAAAAAAAAGUUGGCGGAAGAAAAAAAAAAAAUAAUAAUAAUAAUAAUCAGAACAAACCCUAUAGGUCUUUCAACUGAAAGGUUUGAAAACCUAAUAAUAAUAAUAAUAAUCAGAACAAACCCUAUAGGUCUUUCACCUGAAAGGUUGAAAGACCUAAUAAGCCCAAAUCAAAAUUUAGAAUUUGACCUUGACCUUUGACCUUGACCUAAUUUUCAUUUUUUUGGACCAAGGAUCUUAAAUCAAAAGACCCUAGGUCUCUAUCACUUAUAGUUUACCAGUUAGAAAUGCAUAUCACUGAUAUCAUAUAUAAAAGGGGGGAUAACUCUCAUAUGGAGUCUCCGGAUAGCUUCGGUUGAAAUGAAACAGAACAUCCUAAGGAUAUAACGAGCAAUUUGGAAAAAAAAAUUUGUCGGUUUCUUAUACGGUUGCGAAGGAGUAGUGGCCACAAGAAAAACAGUGUUCGGGGAGAUAACUUUUACAAGGUCAAGUUUUUUGUUACGCGGUGUCAGUUUCAGAAGCGCAUUAACUGUUCGAUAUCAUUUACCUUAUAUCUAAGCGAUAUCUUGUGAAACAAAAAAACAGCGAAGGAAAAAAAAGUUGGCGGAAGAAAAAAAAAAAAAAAUAAUAAUAAUAAUCAGAACAAACCCUAUAGGUCUUUCACCUGAAAGGUUGAAAGACCUAAUAAUAAUGAAAAUAAUC